GUCCUUUAUAAUGCAGUGUGAUCUGUGCUGCAAUAGAGUUUUGGAAGCUAGAAGUUCAAAACGAGGUGUUGGCAGCACCAUGCUCUCUCUGAAGAUGCUAGGAAGAAUCUGCUCCAUGCCUUUCCAUUCGCUCCUGGGGUUUCCUGCAAGCCCUGACAUUCCUUGGCUUGUAGAUACACCACCCCAGUUUCCGCCCCCAUCAUCACAUGGCCUCCUCUCUGUGGGUGCCUCUGCGUUCCCUCUAUUCUUCUUCUAAGGACACCGACACCAGUCAUAGUGGAUUAAGGGUCCACUCCUAACUAAUUACAUCUGCAACCACCCUAUUUCCAAAUAAAGUCACAUUCUAAGAUUCCUAGGGAGAACAUGAAGUUUUG
RNAcentral lists this long non-coding RNA (374 nucleotides) under Homo sapiens (human). RNAcentral describes it as "non-protein coding LINC01961:15". The record is from RNAcentral. Lineage: Eukaryota; Metazoa; Chordata; Mammalia; Primates; Hominidae.